UCUGCAUAGAUGUUAAUGUCAACUACUACAAGGUGUAAAUUCAAAGACAAUCCCUAUGUUUGAACAACUUUUUCAGUUCUUUGGAUGUUAUUACUAUUUUACAAAACUUUUGGGGGGUCUGUAUGAGUUUAAGUAGUAGUUCUAGUAGGAUGGGCUUUAUUGUGUUGACCACGCCAUUUAUCAGGAACCGAAGAAAAGCAAGGUGGUCAUCUGGAGGCAGUGAUGAAGAGCCAAAAGAAAAGUUAACGUCUCUGAUCCACGGGUGUCCCUAGCCUGGCAGGACCUGGUUAUUCUGCUUAUUAAACACCAGAGAAUCUACAACAGCCGGCAGCAUUAUAAACACUUCAAGAUUCAAAAUACUGGAAGAACUUAACACAGACAUACAACUUCCUGAGCUCCAGAAAUUCACAUGGGGGGAAUUUGUGACCUGAGAGAAAACAGCUUUCAAACUCUGAAGAUACCAGGCACCGGCCAGGAGAUACAUCUGAGGCUGCAUAAGGGCCUUAACCGGCCUUCAUCUUCCUUGGCAGAAAACCAGUGCUGGGAGGAAGCUCCAGUGCCCACCAGUGCUUGGGCUGCUCGGCGGAGCAGAAGCACAGCACAUCUGGUGGGCAUGUGCUGGGGAGCACCGCUGGGUGCUCAGCGGUAUCCACAGGAACUAUAUGAAACAAGGACUAUUUCUUCAUCAAACUGCCAAAAUAAAUAGCUA
Molecule: long non-coding RNA, 709 nt
Organism: Cygnus olor (mute swan)
Lineage: Eukaryota; Metazoa; Chordata; Aves; Anseriformes; Anatidae
Exons: 3
Source: RefSeq, a predicted model, not a curated record